AAACCAACAGGGAUUGCCUUAGUAACGGCGAGUGAAGCGGCAAAAGCUCAAAUUUGAAAUCUAGUACCUUCGGUGCUCGAGUUGUAAUUUGAAGAAAGUUUCCUUGGUUAGUCCGUUAGCCUAUGUUCCUUGGAAUAGGACAUCAUAGAGGGUGAGAAUCCCGUAUGGCUUUGGAUCCUAUCCUUUGUAGGAAGCUUUCGAAGAGUCGAGUUGUUUGGGAAU
Molecule: ribosomal RNA, 222 nt
Filed under: uncultured fungus
Lineage: Eukaryota; Fungi
Description: partial 26S ribosomal RNA
Rfam family: Eukaryotic large subunit ribosomal RNA
Source: RNAcentral